This 478-nucleotide ribosomal RNA is filed under the name uncultured bacterium. RNAcentral's name for it is "partial 16S ribosomal RNA". It matches the Rfam family "Bacterial small subunit ribosomal RNA", at positions 28 to 523 of the family's 1533-position model. The record is from RNAcentral.
GACGAACGCUGGCGGCGUGCUUAACACAUGCAAGUCGAACGGUAAGGCCCUUCGGGGUACACGAGUGGCGAACGGGUGAGUAACACGUGGGUGAUCUGCCCUGCACUUCGGGAUAAGCCUGGGAAACUGGGUCUAAUACCGGAUAGGACUCCUGGCUUCAUGGUUGGGGGUGGAAAGCUUUUGCGGUGUGGGAUGGGCCCGCGGCCUAUCAGCUUGUUGGUGGGGUAAUGGCCUACCAAGGCGACGACGGGUAGCCGGCCUGAGAGGGUGACCGGUCACCCUGGGAGUGGGGUACGGCCCGGACUCCUACGGGAGGCAGCAGGGGGGAAUAUUGCACAAUGGGCGCAAGCCUGAUGCAGCGACGCCGCGUGAGGGAUGACGGCCUUCGGGUUGUAAACCUCUUUCAGCUAUGACGAAGCGCAAGUGACGGUAGUAGCAGAAGAAGGACCGGCCAACUACGUGCCAGCCGCCGCAGUAA